GCGGAAGUGGCGGAAUUGGUAGACGCACCAGAUUUAGGUUCUGGCGCCGCAAGGUGUGAGAGUUCAAGUCUCUCCUUCCGCACCU
Molecule: transfer RNA, 85 nt
Filed under: Vibrio parahaemolyticus
Lineage: Bacteria; Pseudomonadati; Pseudomonadota; Gammaproteobacteria; Vibrionales; Vibrionaceae
Description: tRNA-Leu
Rfam family: tRNA
About the family: Transfer RNA (tRNA) molecules are approximately 80 nucleotides in length. Their secondary structure includes four short double-helical elements and three loops (D, anti-codon, and T loops).
Source: RNAcentral